GGUGCCAUAGUGGAACUGGCUUAACACGCCGGCCCUUCAAGCCGGAGAUUCGGGGUUCGAGCCCCCGUGGCAUCACCA
This 78-nucleotide transfer RNA is filed under the name Caudoviricetes sp. Its description in RNAcentral is "tRNA-Glu". It matches the Rfam family "tRNA". Rfam says of the family: Transfer RNA (tRNA) molecules are approximately 80 nucleotides in length. Their secondary structure includes four short double-helical elements and three loops (D, anti-codon, and T loops). The record is from RNAcentral. Lineage: Duplodnaviria; Heunggongvirae; Uroviricota; Caudoviricetes.